This 253-nucleotide ribosomal RNA is filed under the name uncultured bacterium. RNAcentral's name for it is "partial 16S ribosomal RNA". It matches the Rfam family "Bacterial small subunit ribosomal RNA", at positions 524 to 776 of the family's 1533-position model. The record is from RNAcentral.
UACGUAGGUGGCAAGCGUUGUCCGGAUUUACUGGGUGUAAAGGGUGCGCAGGCGGAUCUGUGAGUCAGAGGUGAAAUCUCACAGCUUAACUGUGAAACUGCCUUUGAUACUGCAGAUCUUGAGUUCGGGAGAGGUUGAUGGAAUUCCAGGUGUAGCGGUGAAAUGCGUAGAUAUCUGGAAGAACACCAGUGGCGAAGGCGGUCAACUGGCCCGUAACUGACGCUCAGGCACGAAAGCGUGGGUAGCAAACAGG